UGGGGAAUUUUGGACAAUGGGCGAAAGCCUGAUCCAGCAAUGCCGCGUGUGUGAAGAAGGCCUUCGGGUUGUAAAGCACUUUUGUCCGGAAAGAAAUCCUUGGCUCUAAUACAGUCGGGGGAUGACGGUACCGGAAGAAUAAGCACCGGCUAACUACGUGCCAGCAGCCGCGGUAAUACGUAGGGUGCAAGCGUUAAUCGGAAUUACUGGGCGUAAAGCGUGCGCAGGCGGUUUGCUAAGACCGAUGUGAAAUCCCCGGGCUCAACCUGGGAACUGCAUUGGUGACUGGCAGGCUAGAGUAUGGCAGAGGGGGGUAGAAUUCCACGUGUAGCAGUGAAAUGCGUAGAGAUGUGGAGGAAUACCGAUGGCGAAGGCAGCCCCCUGGGCCAAUACUGACGCUCAUGCACGAAAGCGUGGGGAGCAAACAGGAUUAGAUACCCUGGUAGUCCACGCCCUAAACGAUGUCAACUAGUUGUUGGGGACUUCAUUUUCCUUAGUAACGUAGCUAACGCGUGAAGUUGACCGCCUGGGGAGUACGGUCGCAAGAUUAAAACUC
RNAcentral lists this ribosomal RNA (556 nucleotides) under uncultured bacterium. Its description in RNAcentral is "partial 16S ribosomal RNA". It matches the Rfam family "Bacterial small subunit ribosomal RNA", at positions 355 to 902 of the family's 1533-position model. The record is from RNAcentral.